AUGUAUUCUUUUUUUUUUUUGAUAAGGAAAGAUAAAAAAGAAUCAAAGUUUAAAAAUUGUCUAGCCAUAGAUACAGUAAAAAAAAAAAAAAAUGAGUCGAGUGUUAAUAACAAUAUGCUUUCCCAUUAAUCCAGCUGUGUGGUCUGACGACAGCAAGACGUGUCCUGUGUGUGUUGUGUCUUUCAAAACAGAAGAAGAACUUCGAUGCCAUAAUCUCAUUCAUCAACCAAAUGCACCAAGGUACCGCUGUGAUAAAUGCAUGUAUGAAUCCGUCUGGUUAGAAAAUAUGGUCAAACACAAACAAGAGAAACACAAGCCACAGAAACAAAUGAGAGGUAUGUUCAUGCUGUCAAAAAAAAUUGAAAAAAAAUAAAUAUUUCAUGAUGUUUUUUUAUUUAAACAAUUAUUUUCGUUAAAUAACAAAAGCAAAUCUUAAAAAAAUUUUGUUAUUUGACGAAGAUGUCAUUAGUUUAUGACAACUGAAAGGUGAGUUUUAACUGUUUACUGUAAAAAAAAAUAUGGAUAAUGAAUUAUUUUUUUAAAUAGAAUCCAUCUUUUCAUAAUAAAAAUAAAAAUUGUUUUUA
RNAcentral lists this long non-coding RNA (584 nucleotides) under Androctonus crassicauda. The record is from RNAcentral. Lineage: Eukaryota; Metazoa; Arthropoda; Arachnida; Scorpiones; Buthidae.